RNAcentral lists this ribosomal RNA (303 nucleotides) under uncultured bacterium. RNAcentral's name for it is "partial 16S ribosomal RNA". It matches the Rfam family "Bacterial small subunit ribosomal RNA", at positions 507 to 807 of the family's 1533-position model. The record is from RNAcentral.
AGCAGUAGCCGCGGUAAUACGUAGGGUGCGAGCGUUGUCCGGAAUUACUGGGCGUAAAGAGUUCGUAGGCGGUUUGUCGCGUCGUUCGUGAAAACUUGGGGCUUAACUCCAAGCGUGCGGGCGAUACGGGCAGACUUGAGUACUACAGGGGAGACUGGAAUUCCUGGUGUAGCGGUGAAAUGCGCAGAUAUCAGGAGGAACACCGGUGGCGAAGGCGGGUCUCUGGGUAGUAACUGACGCUGAGGAACGAAAGCGUGGGUAGCGAACAGGAUUAGAUACCCGGGUAGUCCCUGUCUCUUAUAC